AGAGUUUGAUCCUGGCUCAGGAUGAACGCUAGCGGCAGGCUUAAUACAUGCAAGUCGAGGGGUAACAGGGGAGCUUGCUCCCGCUGACGACCGGCGCACGGGUGCGUAACGCGUAUGCAACCUACCUUCAACUGGGGAAUAGCCCCGAGAAAUCGGGAUUAAUACCUCAUAAUAUUCAUCUUUCGCAUGAUUGAUGUCUUAAAGCUCCGGCGGUUGAAGAUGGGCAUGCGUGACAUUAGCUAGUUGGUGAGGUAACGGCUCACCAAGGCUGCGAUGUCUAGGGGUUCUGAGAGGAUUUUCCCCCACACUGGUACUGAGACACGGACCAGACUCCUACGGGAGGCAGCAGUAAGGAAUAUUGGGCAAUGGACGCAAGUCUGACCCAGCCAUGCCGCGUGCAGGAUGAAAGCCCUAUGGGUUGUAAACUGCUUUUAUAUGCCAAGAAACCCCCGCUCGUGAGCGGGGCUGACGGUAGCAUACGAAUAAGCACCGGCUAACUCCGUGC
RNAcentral lists this ribosomal RNA (505 nucleotides) under uncultured sediment bacterium. Its description in RNAcentral is "bacterial SSU rRNA". It matches the Rfam family "Bacterial small subunit ribosomal RNA", at positions 8 to 508 of the family's 1533-position model. The record is from RNAcentral.